RNAcentral lists this ribosomal RNA (603 nucleotides) under Grosmannia taigensis. RNAcentral describes it as "eukaryotic LSU rRNA". It matches the Rfam family "Eukaryotic large subunit ribosomal RNA", at positions 1 to 626 of the family's 3401-position model. Lineage: Eukaryota; Fungi; Ascomycota; Sordariomycetes; Ophiostomatales; Ophiostomataceae. The record is from RNAcentral.
UUGACCUCGGAUCAGGUAGGACUACCCGCUGAACUUAAGCAUAUCAAUAAGCGGAGGAAAAGAAACCAACAGGGAUUGCCCCAGUAACGGCGAGUGAAGCGGCAACAGCUCAGAUUUGGAAUCUGGCCCCCAGGGCCCGAGUUGUAAUCUGGAGAGGAUGCUUCUGGCGCGGCGCCUUCCGAGUUCCCUGGAACGGGACGCCGGAGAGGGUGAGAGCCCCGUACGGUCGGACGCCUAGCCUCUGUGAAGCUCCUUCGACGAGUCGAGUAGUUUGGGAAUGCUGCUCAAAAUGGGAGGUAAAUUUCUUCUAAAGCUAAAUACCGGCCAGAGACCGAUAGCGCACAAGUAGAGUGAUCGAAAGAUGAAAAGCACUUUGAAAAGAGGGUUAAACAGUACGUGAAAUUGUUGAAAGGGAAGCGCCCGUGGCCAGACUUGUGCCCAGCGGACCACCCGGCGUUCUCGCCGGUGCACUCCGCUGGGCGCAGGCCAGCAUCGGUUCUUCUAGGGGGACAAAGGUCGCGGGAACGUAGCUCCCUCGGGAGUGUUAUAGCCCGCGGCGCCAUGCCCCUGGGGGGACCGAGGACCGCGCUUCGGCAAGGAUGC